UUCGAAACUGGCAGGCUAGAGUCUUGUAGAGGGGGGUAGAAUUCCAGGUGUAGCGGUGAAAUGCGUAGAGAUCUGGAGGAAUACCGGUGGCGAAGGCGGCCCCCUGGACAAAGACUGACGCUCAGGUGCGAAAGCGUGGGGAGCAAACAGGAUUAGAUACCCUGGUAGUCCACGCCGUAAACGAUGUCGACUUGGAGGUUGUGCCCUUGAGGCGUGGCUUCCGGAGCUAACGCGUUAAGUCGACCGCCUGGGGAGUACGGCCGCAAGGUUAAAACUCAAAUGAAUUGACGGGGGCCCGCACAAGCGGUGGAGCAUGUGGUUUAAUUCGAUGCAACGCGAAGAACCUUACCUACUCUUGACAUCCAGAGAACUUAGCAGAGAUGCUUUGGUGCCUUCGGGAACUCUGAGACAGGUGCUGCAUGGCUGUCGUCAGCUCGUGUUGUGAAAUGUUGGGUUAAGUCCCGCAACGAGCGCAAC
Molecule: ribosomal RNA, 477 nt
Filed under: Klebsiella aerogenes
Lineage: Bacteria; Pseudomonadati; Pseudomonadota; Gammaproteobacteria; Enterobacterales; Enterobacteriaceae
Description: bacterial SSU rRNA
Rfam family: Bacterial small subunit ribosomal RNA
Source: RNAcentral